UAUAAAGGCCGCCACCCGCUACUCAUAUUUAUCUAAACGCCGCCACCAAUGACACCCUCCUUCUUCCUCAUAGCCAUUGAUGCCGACAUAUUAUUUCCCUAUAGCCACCGGCAAAACAUCGGAAGGUUAGUGAAAAAUUGUCAUCAAGUUUCUAUGGUUGAAUGGUGUUCAAUAAAGAAAGAAGAUUCAGAAAAUAGAUAUAAGUUUUUUUUUGUUUGAGCAAAGUAGACGAAUGUUAGUUUUUUCUUUUGAUUUAAAUGUAUAUUUAUGUAAUAUUUUUAUUUAUAUAUUCAACCACCCAAUGUUCUUAUUUAUUUGAUUGUAAUUUUUCUAUU
Long non-coding RNA from Lactuca sativa (garden lettuce), 335 nucleotides. RefSeq lists it as uncharacterized. Lineage: Eukaryota; Viridiplantae; Streptophyta; Magnoliopsida; Asterales; Asteraceae. The record is from RefSeq and is a predicted model, not a curated record.